AUGUGCAAGUUUCUUUCUUCCUUUUGUCAUAAAAUUAAAAUAGAAGAGGAAUAAGAGGAAGGGAGGAAUGUUGAAUCUCGGAUUUUGAUAAUGAAAUCAAUUGAUAAAUUAUUUGAUCAAAUUUAUAUGUUGAGAAAAGCGUGCAGGAUUAACUACGAUAGUGAUCAAGGCAUAAAUGUAAUAUCCCCCACUUUUAAAAAUGUAUUAAUAAGGAUUUAUAUGUAAAUUGGGGGACCUAUAUGUAAAUAUAGAAAUUACAAGGACUAAACUGCUAAGUUGCAAAAAAAAAAAAAAAAAAAAGGAAAAACCGAAAAUUCGGUAUUAUCCCACCGCCUCCCACGCACUCUGUUUCUUUCCAGAAACAGAGAGAGCGGUGGGGCGUGAGGAGAAGAAGGAGAGUGGUUGAAGAAAAGAAGAAGAAGAGGGAAAAGAAGAGAGGAGGAAGAAGAGAGGAAGAAGAGGGAGAAGAGAAGAAGAUGAAGAAGAAGAAGAAGAGGAGGUGGCUGCAGCGAGGGCUGCAGCGAGAAGCUGUGGGGCGUGGGGAGAAGAAGAGAGGAAGAAGAGGGAGAAGAGAAGAAGAAGAAGAAGAAGCAAAAGAAGAAGAAGAAGAAGAAGAAGAAGAAGAAGAGAGGAUGAUAGCUGCGGCAAGGCUGCAGCGAGGAGGUGUGUGGGGUUGGGGAGGAAAAGGGAAGAGGAGAAGAAAAGAAGGAGAAGAAGAGGGAAAAGAGAGGGAAGAGGGAGAGGAGCGAGAGGUGGCAGCAGCUAGGGCUGCAGCACCUCUGUUUCCUGCAGGUGGAAACAGAGGAGAGGUGGGGCGUUCGAAGAGGAGAAGAAGAAGAAGAAGGAAGAGAAGAGGAAGAGGAAGCAAGAGAAGAGGUUGUGAUACCUCUGUUUCCUGCAGAGGAAACAGAGGAGAGGGUGUGUGUGACGUCGGGGAGAAGAAGGGGAGGAAGGAGAAGAAGAGAAGAAGAAGAAAGGAAGGAGAGGAAGAAGAGAAGGGAAAGGAGGAGCUGCGGCUGCGGCGGUGGCAGCUGCAGCUGGAAGAGAAGGAGAGGAAGAGAUGGUGAGGAAGAAGAGAAGAAGUAGAAGCGGGUGAAGAGGCGGCACCUCUGUUUCCUGCAGGAGGAAACAGAGGAAAGGAGGUGCUGUUCGUCGGGGAGAAGAAGGGGGCGGCAGCUGCGGCGAUGGCAGCUGCAGCUGGAAGAGAAGAAGAAGAGGAAGAUGAGCAGGGGAGGAGGGAGAGGUUGCGGCCGUGGCUGCGGCCGCGACUGCAGCAGUUGCAGCAGGGAGAGAAGAAGAAGAAAGGAAGGAGAAGGAAGAGGAGAAGGGAAAGAAGUAGCUGCGGCUGCGGUUGUGGCAGCUGCAGCUGUGGUAGGGAAAGAGGAAGAGAAAAAGGAAAGGAAGAAGAAGAGAAAGGGAAGGAGAGGAAGAAGAGAGGAAGAAGAGAGGAAGAGGAGAAGGGGCUGCGGCUGCGGCGAUGGCAGCUGCAGCUGUGGCUGGGAAAGAAGAGAAGGAAAGGAAGAAGAAGAGAAAGGGAAGGAGAGGAAGAAGAGAGGAAGAGGAGACGGGGUGGCAGCUGCGGCAGUGGCAGCUGCAGCUGGAAGAGGAGGAGGAAAUAGAGCAGGGGAGGAAGAAGAGGCUGCGAGUGUGGUGGCUGCGGCCGUGGUGGCUGCAGCCGUGGCUGCGACUCCGGCUGCGGCUGCGACGUUGGCUGCGGUAGCUGCGGCAGCGGUGGUGGCUGCAGUAGCUGCAGUAGCUGCUUUUGGGAAAGAGAAAGAGUAGGAACAAGAGAAGGGAAGAAGGAAAUAGUGCAGUGGAAGGGGGCUGCGGUUGUGACCGCAGUUGCGAUUGUGGCAGCGGCAGCGGCGGCGGCUGUGGCAGCUGCGUUUGGGAAAGAAAAAGAAGGAAUGAGAGUAAGAGAGAGCAGGUGACUGUGCCUCGAUGUUCGACACGUGAUGUAGUUACGAAGAAAGGAAGAAAACGGGAGCACAAAACGAAACAGAGAGAGGACACGGAGGAAAAGUAGAAAGAUUGGACUGGCACCUUCCUUGGAUAUUCAGAUCAAAAUAUUUGAAAGGUCAGCUUGUCACUCUUCGAGAUGUUUGAUUUGGGCUGAGGCAGUGGAUAGCUAUUCAGAAUUAUGGGCAAGUCCUGUUGGUUGUUAUGCUAUUGUUGUAUAAGCAUAUUUUGUAUGUAAUGAAUUGUUCUGAUGAUCGAAAUGGAUAUAUUGUGUAAAAGUGUUAGAAGAUCUCUCUUAUUUGGAAUUUCGGAAUGUUAAGUCUAAUUUAUGACGAUAUGAACUUGUGGUGAAUAGUUGGAGUUCUGAUUGUAUAAUUUAUUUAGCUUGUGGAUUUAUAAAUGUUGUUCAUGUUUGUCAAGUUGGCUUGGGUUGCCAUAAAUGUGAAUUAUCGAGUGAUGUGAUAUAUGAUUAUAAACUGCACAGGUUUUAUGGAUGUGAAUAUGAAUAGAAUGUUUUCAGUGUCCUCAAACGUUAGUUUGGAUCCUGGAUUGGUCUAUGACGAAAAUUUUAAAAAUCAUGGAUAUUUUGAGGGGCGUGACAGAGGUGGUAUCAGAGCAUGGUUUGAGGAUCACUGAAAUAUUUGAUAUGUUGACGUGCAAAAUAUAUUGAGCUCUAGUGAAUUAUAGUGAUUGGUGGAAAUAUUUUCUUUGUUGCAUUUUAGGAAUCUGGGAUGAUGAGGACAUUUGGUCCUCCUAUAUCAUUUGUUUCUGAUUAAUUAAGGGGAAUGAAAGGAUUGAUUGGGGAUAUUGAAUCAGAGUGGCGCAGCAGAAGCAUGAUGAACCUAAUUUCAUUGGUGGUAGAAAAAUGGAUGAUGCGAAUGGAGAAGAUAUUUGAUAUACAAAAUUGUUCUGAUACUCGAAAGAUUUCUUUUGCCACGUUAUAUUGGAAGUAAAGACUUAUUAUUGACGGCAACAAUGAAAAGAAUUUUUGAAGAUCAAUGGCAAGAAUGACAAGAACAAGUUUACCAAUAAAAAUAUGAUUGGAAAUGAAUCAGUAAGUAACAACAAGAGAGUCAAGACAUUUGGAUUUGAAAUGGGAAGUCACCACAAAAGACUCAAUCAGGUGUGAAUUGCAAGUUAAAUUAUGAAACAAGUUUAUGUUUGUGCGUGACUAGAGCCUAUUUUGCUUAUGGAAAGUUUGAUCAUAAAAUAAAAGUUUGCCCUUUGAACAAGAAGAAAGAGUCACUGCCUCCUAAAUCAUCAGCCCAUGUCAGAGUGUAUGCUAUCACUGAAUAUGAUUCUAAGACUUCUGAAUUAGUGGUCGAAGGUAUUAUGUAUGUUUAUGAAAGAAUGCAAAUAUUUGUUUGAACAUGGGUUCUAUCUACGAUUUGAUUCGUAACAUAUUGCCUAUCACUUGGGUAUUCAACCUAGACCACUGUAUUAUGUGAUAUAUGUAAGUACAAUCAUUGGAGAUUCUUUGAUAACGAACUUGAAUCUGGUCCUCUUGUCUGAUUUUUGUUGGAGAACUUGAACUUUUGCUGAUUUAGUUCUCCUAGAGAUUUGGAGUUAUGAUAUUAUACUUGGUAUGCAUUGGCUAUCUUCUUAUCAUACCAGUAUGGAUUGGUAUAUAACAAAUGAUCACUUUUUGCAUAUUUGAUCAGCCGAUCUUUUAUUUUGAGAGUAUUGGACAUUAUUUAUCUCCUUGCCUAAUGUAUCCCAGGAUGACUUGCCUGGAUUACCUCCAAAUGUGAUUUUGCUUUUGAUUUGGUCCUUGGGACAAUCCCUAUAUCUAAGCCUCUCUGCAGAAUGAUAUCAUUUGAGUAAGUGGAAUUAGAAAAACAACUACAAGGAUUAUUAAAUGAGGAUUUUAUUUGGCUUAAUAUUUUAUCAUGGGGUGCUCUGGUGUUAGUUAAAAAGAUGGAUGGAACAUGGAGGCUUUGUAUUGAUUAUGGAUAGUUGAAUCAGGUGAUCAUCAAAAACGAGUAUUUUCUGAAGUAACAUUUGCUUGAUUAAUUACAGGUGCGCAAGUAUUUUUGAAAGAUUGAUUGAAGGUCGGGUUUACCAUCUAUUGAGAAUCAAGAAGGAGAAUAUUUCGGUCACUCUUGGAAAAUUAUGUAAUUGUAUUGAAUUGAUGAAAUUAGUUAAGAGUAGGAGGAGGAAAUAAAGAAAUCAUAAUCCUCAUCUUUUCAUCGAUUGAGCUAUGACCAAUUUAGAGGACUAAAUUUUCUUUUAAGGGGGGGAGAGUGUAAUAUCCCCCACUUUUAAAAAUGUAUUAAUAAGGAUUUAUAUGUAAAUUGGGGGACCUAUAUGUAAAUAUAGAAAUUACAAGGACUAAACUGCUAAGUUGCAAAAAGAAAAAAAAAAAGAAAAGGAAAAACCGAAAAUUCGGUAUUAUCCCACCGCCUCCCACGCACUCUGUUUCUUUCCAGAAACAGAGAGAGCGGUGGGGCGUGAGGAGAAGAAGGAGAGUGGUUGAAGAAAAGAAGAAGAAGAGGGAAAAGAAGAGAGGAGGAAGAAGAGAGGAAGAAGAGGGAGAAGAGAAGAAGAAGAAGAAGAGGAGGUGGCUGCAGCGAGGGCUGCAGCGAGAAGCUGUGGGGCGUGGGGAGAAGAAGAGAGGAAGAAGAGGGAGAAGAGAAGAAGAGGAAGAAGAAGCAGAAGAAGAAGAAGAAGAAGAAGAAGAAGAAGAAGAAGAAGAAGAAGAAGAGAGGAUGAUAGCUGCGGCAAGGCUGCAGCGAGGAGGUGUGUGGGGUUGGGGAGGAAAAGGGAAGAGGAGAAGAAAAGAAGGAGAAGAAGAGGGAAAAGAGAGGGAAGAGGGAGAGGAGCGAGAGGUGGCAGCAGCUAGGGCUGCAGCACCUCUGUUUCCUGCAGGUGGAAACAGAGGAGAGGUGGGGCGUUCGAAGAGGAGAAGAAGAAGAAGAAGGAACAGAAGAGGAAGAGGAAGCAGGAGAAGAGGUUGUGAUACCUUUGUUUCCUGCAGAGGAAACAGAGGAGAGGUGUGUGUGACGUCGGGGAGAAGAAGGGGAGGAAGGAGAAGAAGAGAAGAAGAAGAAAGGAAGGAGAGGAAGAAGAGAAGGGAAAGGAGGAGCUGCGGCUGCGGCGGUGGCAGCUGCAGCUGGAAGAGAAGGAGAGGAAGAGAUGGUGAGGAAGAAGAGAAGAAGUAGAAGCGGGUGAAGAGGCGGCACCUCUGUUUCCUGCAGGAGGAAACAAAGGAAAGGAGGUGCUGUUCGUCGGGGAGAAGAAGGGGGCUGCAGCUGCGGCGAUGGCAGCUGCAGCUGGAAGAGAAGAAGAAGAGGAAGAUGAGCAGGGGAGGAGGGAGAGGUUGCGGCCGUGGCUGCGGUCGCGACUGCAGCAGUUGCAGCGGGGAGAGAAGAAGAAGAAAGGAAGGAGAAGGAAGAGGAGAAGGGAAAGAAGUAGCUGCGGCUGCGGUUGUGGCAGCUGCAGCUGUGGCAGGGAAAGAGGAAGAGAAAAAGGAAAGGAAGAAGAAGAGAAAGGGAAGGAGAGGAAGAAGAGAGGAAGAGGAGAAGGGGCUGUGGCUGCGGCGAUGGCAGCUGCAGCUGUGGCUGGGAAAGAAGAGAAGGAAAGGAAGAAGAAGAGAAAGGGAAGGAGAGGAAGAAGAGAGGAAGAGGAGAAGGGGUGGCAGCUGCGGCAGUGGCAGCUGCGGCAGUGGCAGCUGCAGCUGGAAGAGGAGGAAAUAGAGCAGGGGAGGAAGAAGAGGCUGCGAGUGUGGUGGCUGCGGCCGUGGCUGCGACUCCGGCUGCGGCUGCGACGUUGGCUGCGGUAGCUGCGGCAGCGGUGGUGGCUGCAGUAGCUGCUUUUGGGAAAGAGAAAGAGUAGGAACAAGAGAAGGGAAGAAGAAAAUAGUGCAGUGGAAGGGGGCUGCGGUUGUGACCGCAGUUGCGAUUGUGGCAGCGGCGGCGGCUGUGGCAGCUGCGUUUGGGAAAGAAAAAGAAGGAAUGAGAGUAAGAGAGAGCAGGUGACUGUGCCUCGAUGGCGGCGGCGGCGGCUGUGGCAGCAUACUCAGAUUGGACUGGCACCUUCCUUGGAUAUUCAGAUCAAAAUAUUUGAAAGGCAAGUUCCCUGAUCGUUUCUCCUAUAAUUGCUCUGAUAUUUCUUAUUUCAAGUUCCCUGAUCGUUCCUCCUAUAAUUGCUCUAACUUUUCUUAUUGCAAGUUUCCCGAUCGUUUCGCCUGUAAUUGUUCUAAUCUUUCCUAUUGCAAGUAUCCUGAUCGUUCCUCACUACAAUUUUAUCUCUACAUUUGCUUUGAAUAUGAGGAACUUUGAAUUGUUCUAGCCUUGCAUUUGAUAUAUCUCCUGUUUAGACGUAACGAUUCGAAUCUGUGCAACUUCUGAUAUUCUGACCUUUUGAUACCGAGCUGCUUAUAAGUCUUUGUUGGGAACUCUGAUUUGUUCAAAACUGAUUUCAUUGGAAAAUAGACUCGUAGACCUUUCCUUGAUAUAUGGAUUGAAAGAUUUGGAAUCCAAACACCUGUCCAGCUAUCUGUUGAAUCUGAAAUUAGGAAUUUUGCCAACAGAGAUUUUAUUCUACGACACUUGCUUACCAAAUUAUUUGUAACUCUCUCUGUUGGACAGUUCAAUUCAUAUGAAGCAUGUCUUAUCUGAAAGUAUUAUCCAAUGAUUAUUUCUGAGUAAAUUGGAGCACGUUUGAUAGUUUGAAUCAUUUGUUCAAUGUGCCUUCUGUAUUCUGCCAGAAAUCGAGCUUUGGUCGAUUUCUCA
Musa acuminata AAA Group (dessert banana) is the source of this 6692-nucleotide long non-coding RNA. RefSeq lists it as uncharacterized. The record is from RefSeq and is a predicted model, not a curated record. NCBI's taxonomy places the organism in Eukaryota, Viridiplantae, Streptophyta, Magnoliopsida, Zingiberales, Musaceae. The transcript has 2 exons.